This 492-nucleotide ribosomal RNA is filed under the name uncultured bacterium. Its description in RNAcentral is "bacterial SSU rRNA". It matches the Rfam family "Bacterial small subunit ribosomal RNA", at positions 28 to 507 of the family's 1533-position model. The record is from RNAcentral.
GAUGAACGCUAGCUACAGGCUUAACACAUGCAAGUCGAGGGGAAACGAUAUUGGAAGCUUGCUUCCGAUAGGCGUCGACCGGCGCACGGGUGAGUAACGCGUAUCCAACCUGCCCACCACUUGGGGAUAACCUUGCGAAAGUAAGACUAAUACCCAAUGAUAUCUCUAGACGACAUCUGAAAGGGAUUAAAGAUUUAUCGGUGAUGGAUGGGGAUGCGUCUGAUUAGCUUGUUGGCGGGGUAACGGCCCACCAAGGCAACGAUCAGUAGGGGUUCUGAGAGGAAGGUCCCCCACACUGGAACUGAGACACGGUCCAGACUCCUACGGGAGGCAGCAGUGAGGAAUAUUGGUCAAUGGGCGCAGGCCUGAACCAGCCAAGUCGCGUGAGGGAGGACGGUCCUACGGAUUGUAAACCUCUUUUGUCGGGGAGUAACGUGCGGGACGGGUCCCGUAUUGAGAGUACCCGAAGAAAAAGCAUCGGCUAACUCCGUG